Molecule: ribosomal RNA, 899 nt
Filed under: Fusarium oxysporum
Lineage: Eukaryota; Fungi; Ascomycota; Sordariomycetes; Hypocreales; Nectriaceae
Also listed under: 1 other name
Description: LSU rRNA
Rfam family: Eukaryotic large subunit ribosomal RNA
Source: RNAcentral
GCAUAUCAAUAAGCGGAGGAAAAGAAACCAACAGGGAUUGCCCUAGUAACGGCGAGUGAAGCGGCAACAGCUCAAAUUUGAAAUCUGGCUCUCGGGCCCGAGUUGUAAUUUGUAGAGGAUACUUUUGAUGCGGUGCCUUCCGAGUUCCCUGGAACGGGACGCCAUAGAGGGUGAGAGCCCCGUCUGGUUGGAUGCCAAAUCUCUGUAAAGUUCCUUCAACGAGUCGAGUAGUUUGGGAAUGCUGCUCUAAAUGGGAGGUAUAUGUCUUCUAAAGCUAAAUACCGGCCAGAGACCGAUAGCGCACAAGUAGAGUGAUCGAAAGAUGAAAAGCACUUUGAAAAGAGAGUUAAAAAGUACGUGAAAUUGUUGAAAGGGAAGCGUUUAUGACCAGACUUGGGCUUGGUUAAUCAUCUGGGGUUCUCCCCAGUGCACUUUUCCAGUCCAGGCCAGCAUCAGUUUUCCCCGGGGGAUAAAGGCGGCGGGAAUGUGGCUCUCUUCGGGGAGUGUUAUAGCCCACCGUGUAAUACCCUGGGGGGGACUGAGGUUCGCGCAUCUGCAAGGAUGCUGGCGUAAUGGUCAUCAACGACCCGUCUUGAAACACGGACCAAGGAGUCGUCUUCGUAUGCGAGUGUUCGGGUGUCAAACCCCUACGCGUAAUGAAAGUGAACGCAGGUGAGAGCUUCGGCGCAUCAUCGACCGAUCCUGAUGUUCUCGGAUGGAUUUGAGUAAGAGCAUACGGGGCCGGACCCGAAAGAAGGUGAACUAUGCCUGUAUAGGGUGAAGCCAGAGGAAACUCUGGUGGAGGCUCGCAGCGGUUCUGACGUGCAAAUCGAUCGUCAAAUAUGGGCAUGGGGGCGAAAGACUAAUCGAACCUUCUAGUAGCUGGUUUCCGCCGAAGU